Molecule: ribosomal RNA, 250 nt
Filed under: uncultured bacterium
Lineage: Bacteria
Description: partial 16S ribosomal RNA
Rfam family: Bacterial small subunit ribosomal RNA
Source: RNAcentral
UACGUAGGUGGCGAGCGUUGUCCGGAUUUAUUGGGUUUAAAGGGUGCGUAGGCGUCCCUGCAAGUUUUAGGUGAAAUGCCCAAGCUCAACUUGGGAGCUGCCUGAAAAACUGCCGGGAUUGAGUACAGAUGAGGUAGGCGGAAUUGACGGUGUAGCGGUGAAAUGCAUAGAUAUCGUCAAGAACACCGAUAGCGAAGGCAGCUUACUGGGCUGUAACUGACGCUGAUGCACGAAAGUGUGGGGAUCAAAC